AGGAGCAAACUUUUGAACAGGUCGUGCUUGAAUGGGGAAAAGUGGCAGUGGCGCCUCUGGUUGCCUUACUUAUUCACUUGAUCAGCAGUUUUUUGUGGUUUGGCUUCUAGAAGGAACAUUUCUACUGUUUGAAUACCUUUUCUGAUGUGGAUAUCAACUGAAACUGGCACCUAUGGAUUUUUAAAAGGCUUGCUUUGUUCAAGUGAAUGAGUUACCUAUUGACCGGACCUGUCAUUUUCUUUCACUCUGCCAUCAUCUUGUCUGUGUACCAAUAGAACUAUAGUAUACAAAUAAACUAGUAGAGUAUUUGUUUUAA
Antechinus flavipes (yellow-footed antechinus) is the source of this 316-nucleotide long non-coding RNA. RefSeq lists it as uncharacterized. The record is from RefSeq and is a predicted model, not a curated record. The transcript is spliced from 2 exons. Lineage: Eukaryota; Metazoa; Chordata; Mammalia; Dasyuromorphia; Dasyuridae.